RNAcentral lists this non-coding RNA (784 nucleotides) under Sinna extrema. The record is from RNAcentral. Lineage: Eukaryota; Metazoa; Arthropoda; Insecta; Lepidoptera; Nolidae.
UAAAAAAAUUUAUUAAAAAUUUAUUUUACAUAUUAAUUUUUGUAUUUAAUAUAAAUUAUUUUAAUAAUAAUUUAUAAAAAUUAAAGUAGUAAUUAAUAUUAAACACUUUAAGAAAUUAAGAUUUAUUAAUAUUUAAAUUAAUAACAAAUUUUGUGCCAGCAGUUGCGGUUAUACAAAAAUUAAAUUAAAUUAUAUUAGUUUAUUAAUAAGUAUUUUGAUUUUAUAAUAAAAAUUUUAAAUUAUUAAGUGAAAUUUUAAUUUAAUAAAAAUUUAUUUUUUAAUUAUUAUUUAAUAAAUUUUUAUAAAAAACUAGGAUUAGAUACCCUAUUAUUAAAUUUUAAAUUAAAAUACUAAAAUAGUAAUUAAUUAUUUAAUGAAACUUAAAUAAUUUGGCGGUAUUUUAGUUCAUUUAGAGGAAUCUGUUUAAUAAUUGAUAUUCCACGAAUAAAUUUACUUAAUUUAUAAUUUUGUAUAUCGUUGUUAAAAAAAUAUUUUUUAGUAAAAAUAAUAUUUUAAAAUUUUUAAUAAAAAUUAAAUCAGAUCAAGAUGCAGAUUAUAAUUAAGAAUAUAAUGGAUUACAAUAAAUUUAUUUAAAUGGAUAUUAAUUUGUAAUAAUUAAUUAAAGGUGGAUUUAAAUGUAAUUUUAUUUAAUUUAAUAGAAUGAUUAAAAAUUAAAAUAUGUACAUAUUGCCCGUCGCUUUCAUAUAUUAUAUUUAUAUAUAUAUAUAUAAAUUGAAAUAAGUCGUAACAAAGUAGAGGUACUGGAAAGUGUUUCUAGAAAGAC